UACAAGAGAAUUAAUUAUUGUGAUUGAAAU
RNAcentral lists this non-coding RNA (30 nucleotides) under Mus musculus (house mouse). The record is from RNAcentral. Lineage: Eukaryota; Metazoa; Chordata; Mammalia; Rodentia; Muridae.